Molecule: ribosomal RNA, 495 nt
Filed under: uncultured bacterium
Lineage: Bacteria
Description: partial 16S ribosomal RNA
Rfam family: Bacterial small subunit ribosomal RNA
Source: RNAcentral
GACGAACGCUGGCGGCGUGCCUAAUACAUGCAAGUAGAACGCUGAAGGAGGAGCUUGCUUCUCUGGAUGAGUUGCGAACGGGUGAGUAACGCGUAGGUAACCUGCCUGGUAGCGGGGGAUAACUAUUGGAAACGAUAGCUAAUACCGCAUAAUAGUAGAUGUUGCAUGACAUUUGCUUAAAAGGUGCAAUUGCAUCACUACCAGAUGGACCUGCGUUGUAUUAGCUAGUUGGUGGGGUAACGGCUCACCAAGGCGACGAUACAUAGCCGACCUGAGAGGGGGAUCGGCCACACUGGGACUGAGACACGGCCCAGACGCCUACGGGAGGCAGCAGUAGGGAAUCUUCGGCAAUGGACGGAAGUCUGACCGAGCAACGCCGCGUGAGUGAAGAAGGGUUUCGGAUCGUAAAGCUCUGUUGUAAGAGAAGAACGAGUGUGAGAGUGGAAAGUUCACACUGUGACGGUAUCUUACCAGAAAGGGACGGCUAACUACGUG